Molecule: long non-coding RNA, 2049 nt
Filed under: Lupinus angustifolius (narrow-leaved blue lupine)
Lineage: Eukaryota; Viridiplantae; Streptophyta; Magnoliopsida; Fabales; Fabaceae
Description: long non-coding RNA (LANG_LNC001906)
Source: RNAcentral
UAGCAUAAUAAGGAUUCUCAAGUUCAAAUCUUUUGAAAUGUCAAGCACAAUGAUUUAAAUUGCAAAUUGCAUCACGUGAUGCAGCCGCAAACUAUUUUUUUAGUUUUUCAAUGCAAGUUUAUAUCUUGAUUCUUUAACAAUUGUCCUACCUACUAUGUACACACACAAAAUUUACACUCACUUUAUUAUAUAUUUUGGUUCAAGCCAUUGAACAGAACUGAUAUAAAUGUAACCUUUUCUUUUCUAAUGAUUCAGAUAAUGUACCUAACUUACUCAAAAACUUGAGUACACUGAGUGUGUCAUCAACAAUGCCUGAUAUGGAAGAAGAAGAACAUGAUGAAGGAAUAGUUGAAAGAGAGAACAAAGGGAAACAAAACAUGUUGAUUGAAAAAGAUGAAGAACAUAGCAAAUGGACACAUAUACCUAGUGAUAUUCUGGAAAUGAUAAUGAAGCGUUUGAAACUUAUAGAUUUCUUUGGAACUAGUGCAGUGUGUUCAUCUUGGAAGGCUACCUUUACUAAAGCCAUUGCAAACAAGCAUAUCAAACCAUUACCUGAAUUGCCUCUUGUAAUCCUGCAAUCGACUAAGAUUCCUACAUCAGCAAGCAGUGUUUUGAGCAUCAAAUCAGAAGAAGUAUGUUCUUUCAUAAACAAAAACACAAUGUUACCUGAAAGUCACCAUAUAUGUCAUGGCACAGUUGAAGGAUGGAUGAUUUUGAGUAUUUCUCUUUUUGUUGAUAUUACCAACAUCAUCUUUUUCUUGAAUCCAGUUACCGGUGAUGUAGUAAUUGCUCCUUCACCUUUGAAAUUUCCAUCAAACUCUCCUAUUCCAAGAAGAUCAAAUUUGAAUAUGGGAAGAAUGGUGGCAUCUUCUAGUCCUAAAUGUGAAGAUUGUGUUGUAGUUGGUCUCUUUAUUGAUUAUGUCCACAUUGCAUAUUGUAGAGUUAAUCAUGACAAAUCAUGGACUAUGAUUGAAGCAAAGAAAGAGGAUGCAUGGAAUUUUCUGGAUAUGGAAAUUUUCAAUGGUAAAUUGUAUGUUAGAACUAACAUGGCAAGCAGUUCUAUGUUAGUUUAUGAUCUGCAAGAUUCGACUAAUAAUCCUCCAAAGCCUAUAGUAUUAGGUGAGAUUCCACCAAUAAGGCCAUUACCAGAAUCAAGGACACAUGAAAAUCAAAUUCAUGUUAAGGGUAAUGUCAUUCGAUUUCUAACAACAGGUUAUGCAGCAGAAGAGUUAUUGCUCAUAUACUUGUUUAACAAUUAUGUUUUUGAAAAUGAUAAUGUUGCCUAUAUGAAUGUUGUCAAGCAAUAUGCAAGUCCCCCUCAAGUUACCAAAUGUGAAGUGUUCAAGUUAGACACAAGAAGUAAUAAGUGGGUGAAGCUUGAUCACUUGGGUGACAGAGUGAUAUUUCUUGGAUAUGAUAAGUCCUACGUAAUGUCAAGAACAUUACUUAAUUGCAGUGAAGAGUUAAUUGCAGAGAAUAGUGUCUAUUUUGCUCUUUACUUUCCAUGUCCAGAACCAUGGUCGAAAGCUCAAUUGGGGAGGCUUUGUUUGACUGAUAACAAGAUCAAGUACUUUUCUUUGGAGGAAUUUGGAGUUGAACUAUAUGCUUACCCUUCCUGGUUCUUACCAAGUGCUUGGUAGUUCGUUAUUUUGCUGCUUACAUUUGCUUUAGGUUUCACCAUUGUCAUCUAUGAAUUGAUUGAUAUUUUUUUUGUAUCAUACAUUUUCAUGAAUCCUCCAUGCUAAAAGUGGUGUAAUAAUGUAGAAAAAGAAUCACAUAAUUUGGAAUUAAAGUCGUUGCUGAUCGCUGUUUUGAUGCAAAAUAUAUGGUACGAUAUGCCGUGCAAGGAAGUUAAUCCAGAAAAAGAGCAUUAAAUUGUAAAGCUAACAAAACAAGAAAAGACUUAUCUGAACUCUUCCUUCAACAACCAUUCUUUUUCAAGCUCUUCCUCCAGUUUUCUCUGCAGAAGAUCCAGUUCUGCAUCAGUAGUAGUCUCACAUCUAGCUUCCUCUGUUUUUUGCUUGCAUGCAUCAAUUUUUUCCUGAUAAU